This 360-nucleotide ribosomal RNA is filed under the name Triticum aestivum (bread wheat). Its description in RNAcentral is "partial small subunit ribosomal RNA". The record is from RNAcentral. Lineage: Eukaryota; Viridiplantae; Streptophyta; Magnoliopsida; Poales; Poaceae.
AUGGUUGUAGAAGGAGAUGUGACUCCUAGUGAACGGAGAGGCAUGUUCACUUUUUCGUCAUAUUUCAUUUAUCCUUGUAGCAGUUUUGUUUUCAAUUAUAAUAACUACUAUUUUUUUGGGUUUUCCGACCAUGUUCUAUAUUUUGUUUGUUCUAUGCAGGGGUCUGCAAACCAUUCUUCUAGGCAGAAUUUGAAACGGCCCGCCGAUCGGCAGUCUCGUCGUGCUGAUAUCGACGCGGAGGCAGAGGAUGAUGAGGUAAGUAUCGAGCAAGUAGUGUGGGUUCAUUCCCCUUUCCUGCAUACAGACGCAAGUAACUUUUUCCAUGCAUCCUUUAGGUUGGUGACCAAUUCUGCAUCGUGA